CCUACGGGUGGCAGCAGUGGGGAAUAUUGCACAAUGGGGGGAACCCUGAUGCAGCGACGCCGCGUGGGUGAAGGAGUAUUUCUGUAUGUAAAGCCCUAUCAGCAGGGAAGAACAAUGACGGUACCUGACUAAGAAGCACCGGCUAAAUACGUGCCAGCAGCCGCGGUAAAACGUAUGGUGCAAGCGUUAUCCGGAUUUACUGGGUGUAAAGGGAGCGCAGGCGGCGCGUUAAGCCUUGUGUGAAAGCCCGGGGCCCAACCGCGGGACUGCAUUGGGAACUGGCGCGCUGGAGUGCCGGAGGGGUAGGCGGAAUUCCUAGUGUAGCGGUGAAAUGCGUAGAUAUUAGGAGGAACACCAGUGGCGAAGGCGGCCUACUGGACGGUGACUGACGCUGAGGCUCGAAAGCGUGGGGAGCGAACAGGAUUAGAUACCCGGGUAGUC
Molecule: ribosomal RNA, 441 nt
Filed under: uncultured bacterium
Lineage: Bacteria
Description: partial 16S ribosomal RNA
Rfam family: Bacterial small subunit ribosomal RNA
Source: RNAcentral